RNAcentral lists this ribosomal RNA (301 nucleotides) under uncultured bacterium. Its description in RNAcentral is "partial 16S ribosomal RNA". It matches the Rfam family "Bacterial small subunit ribosomal RNA", at positions 509 to 807 of the family's 1533-position model. The record is from RNAcentral.
CAGCAGCCGCGGUAAUACGUAGGUGGCAAGCGUUGUCCGGAAUUAUUGGGCGUAAAGGGCUCGCAGGCGGUUUCUUAAGUCUGAUGUGAAAGCCCCCGGCUCAACCGGGGAGGGUCAUUGGAAACUGGGAAACUUGAGUGCAGAAGAGGAGAGUGGGAUACCACGUGUAGCGGUGAAAUGCGUAGAGAUGUGGAGGAACACCAGUGGCGAAGGCGACUCUCUGGUCUGUAACUGACGCUGAGGAGCGAAAGCGUGGGGAGCGAACAGGAUUAGAUACCCCGGUAGUCCCUGUCUCUUAUAC